This 878-nucleotide ribosomal RNA is filed under the name uncultured bacterium. RNAcentral describes it as "bacterial SSU rRNA". It matches the Rfam family "Bacterial small subunit ribosomal RNA", at positions 627 to 1505 of the family's 1533-position model. The record is from RNAcentral.
CAGAAACUGUUGAACUUGAGUGCAGAAGAGGNNNGUGGAANUNNNNNNNNNNCGGUGGAAUGNNUAGAUAUAUGGAAGAACACCAGUGGCGAAGGCGGCUCUCNGGUCUGCAACUGACGCUGAGGCUCGAAAGCAUGGGUAGCGAACAGGAUUAGAUACCCUGGUAGUCCAUGCCGUAAACGAUGAGUGCUAAGUGUUGGGAGGUUUCCGCCUCUCAGUGCUGCAGCUAACGCAUUAAGUACUCCGCCUGGGGAGUACGACCGCAAGGUUGAAACUCAAAGGAAUUGACGGGGGCCCGCACAAGCGGUGGAGCAUGUGGUUUAAUUCGAAGCAACGCGAAGAACCUUACCAGGUCUUGACAUCCUUUGACCACUCUAGAGAUAGAGCUUCCCCUUCGGGGGCAAAGUGACAGGUGGUGCAUGGUUGUCGUCAGCUCGUGUCGUGAGAUGUUGGGUUAAGUCCCGCAACGAGCGCAACCCUUAUUGUUAGUUGCCAUCAUUUAGUUGGGCACUCUAGCAAGACUGCCGGUGACAAACCGGAGGAAGGUGGGGAUGACGUCAAAUCAUCAUGCCCCUUAUGACCUGGGCUACACACGUGCUACAAUGGGAAGUACAACGAGUCGCAAAGUCGCGAGGCUAAGCUAAUCUCUUAAAGCUUCUCUCAGUUCGGAUUGUAGGCUGCAACUCGCCUACAUGAAGCCGGAAUCGCUAGUAAUCGCGGAUCAGCACGCCGCGGUGAAUACGUUCCCGGGCCUUGUACACACCGCCCGUCACACCACGAGAGUUUGUAACACCCGAAGUCGGUGAGGUAACCUUUUGGGGCCAGCCGCCUAAGGUGGGAUAGAUGAUUGGGGUGAAGUCGUAACAAGGUAGCCGUAA